UACGGAGGAUCCAAGCGUUAUCCGGAUUUAUUGGGUUUAAAGGGUGCGUAGGCGGAUUGAUAAGUUAGAGGUGAAAUGUCCGAGCUCAACUCGGGAACUGCCUCUAAUACUGUUGAUCUAGAGAGUAGAUGCGGUAGGCGGAAUGUAUGGUGUAGCGGUGAAAUGCUUAGAGAUCAUACAGAACACCGAUUGCGAAGGCGGCCUGCUGGGCUUUUACUGACGCUGAGGCUCGAAAGUGUGGGGAGCAAACAGG
This 253-nucleotide ribosomal RNA is filed under the name uncultured bacterium. RNAcentral describes it as "partial 16S ribosomal RNA". It matches the Rfam family "Bacterial small subunit ribosomal RNA", at positions 524 to 776 of the family's 1533-position model. The record is from RNAcentral.